Molecule: microRNA precursor, 57 nt
Filed under: Notechis scutatus (mainland tiger snake)
Lineage: Eukaryota; Metazoa; Chordata; Lepidosauria; Squamata; Elapidae
Description: miRNA (ENSNSUG00000007280.1)
Source: RNAcentral
AUGCCAUGCUCAUGUGAAAAUCAAAAUCUAAAGAAAAUGCUGCAAAGAUAGAUUAUU